UCUUCUUCUUCUUCCCUUUCUUCAUCUCUCUGGAGUCUGCCUCAUCUCAAUUCUCUUUCUCACGUUGGAGCUGCUUGAAUAAAGAACUUGGAGUUGCAGAAAUUUAACACGCUAGGUUUCAACUUGUAUAGCUAGCUAGGCUUCAUAAUACACAGAGGCUAACUAGAGAGCAAAGAGAACUAAUUAAGCUGGAAUGACGGUGGAAGAGUCAGCUCAGCUGGCCGACCAGAAUAAAAGGAGUAGUGGUCCGAGGUUUAACCGCAGAUCAUGGAUCACCUUAUCAGAAAGCUGCUGCUUUAGUUGAUCUUGGUGAAGAUGGCGUUGGUCUACCGAAGGAAAUUCUUGAGGGAUCGAGCUUUGAGAAGGCAGCACCAUUGUACUUCAUGUUUACUGAUUUUCACUUAGUGAUUGGGACAUUUAAUUCCCUUGCACUAGUCAUUCUAAACUUCCUUGAGGUUUGUAAAGCUCUCUUACUGCCCUAUCCCUGCUUCAAAUUUUCUUUUUUUCCUGGUGUGUUGACUUCCCACUUGUUCUUAGAACUGACAGUCUUAGUUUCAUUGUUUUCCUGUUUCUCUUUGCUCAGAGACCACUGUGGUGUUUUAAGCAUUUAGCUGAGUCUUGUAUUAACAGAGACUACUAUUAUCUAGGAGACUUCCAUACUCGACUCGUACCGAGUCUCUUAUAUAUGAGUUAAGGUUUGUAAGCUGGUUUAUUUGUUAUACUUGGAGUCUUUGAUAUCUAAAGCUAGAAGCUAAUCUUUUAAACAGAACGAAUGGAUGGUUCUGAAUAUUUCCUAAUCUAUGGAAAAUUUUAUUGA
Non-coding RNA from Nicotiana tabacum (common tobacco), 817 nucleotides. The record is from RefSeq and is a predicted model, not a curated record. NCBI's taxonomy places the organism in Eukaryota, Viridiplantae, Streptophyta, Magnoliopsida, Solanales, Solanaceae.